AUCUAGCUGACGUGUCCCAAAUAGGGCGAAACACUCAUCCUGGAU
Schistosoma haematobium is the source of this 45-nucleotide non-coding RNA. The record is from Rfam. Lineage: Eukaryota; Metazoa; Platyhelminthes; Trematoda; Strigeidida; Schistosomatidae.